UUGAUUACGUCCCUGCCCUUUGUACACACCGCCGUCGCUGCCCGGGACUGAGCCAUUUCGAGAAACUCGGGGAUUGUUGGCUUUGCGGCCCCUCGGGGUCGUGUUGCCGGUGAGAACCGAUUUAAUCGCAGUGGCUUGAACCGGGCAAAAGUCGUAACAAGGUAGCUGUAGGUGAACCUGCUGCUGGAUCAUUACCCACCUGAUCACACUCGCUACCUAUAUCGUGAGGCUGUUGGAUGCGGGCGCACACAUCCUGCGUGGGGGCACUUGCUACUGGGUGCACACAUGCGGCGAUGAGACCGGGCUCUCGGCGAGAGAGCUGACGCUCCUUCGGCUGCACCUGCUCUGUUGGACAUUUGGUUGGGGUGCACGCAUGCCGGCAUGUUGUGUGCAGUGCACACCAGCAGAGCAGACAACGGCUUCUGUUGGCGUCUAUGCGUUGUUGAGCAGUCUGUUGCGCGSSUGUUUGSUUAUCGGUGUUGKUKUGUGCSUUKUGCKUKGCUGGCGCGGGACCCUUUGGGUUUCCCGGCGCCCUWCCUAAUGGAGUAGCAACUUGGUAUGCAGCGCAUCCGCACACGCAUUGUACCAGCUAGCGUGCUACGUCCGUGGCUUGCAAUGAGACAACGCGGGAAAAGUGCGGCCAUUGAAGGUUUGUCGUGCUCAGACUUGAUGAGCCCCUGGCAUGUUGGGCCGCCAGACAAACCCUUUUUUCAAUUACACAUUUUUUGUAUGGCCUUUGUUGGCUAAGAGAAAGAAAGAAUUCUAGUCUUAUCGGUGAAUCACUCGGCUCGUAGGUCGAUGAAGAACGCAGCCAACUGCGAUAAGUAGUGUGAACUGCAGAAACCUUGAACACAGAACAUUCGAAUGCACAUUGCGCCAUUGGAGUAACAUCCUUUGGCACGCCUGGUUCAGGGUCGUUAUCCGAAAAUGCACAGCAAUUGCGUGUACAGUUUUGCCUGAUCAAUUUGAAACGGUUGUUCGUGCAUUGGUGCCCACAGCGUCCGGGCGACUGCACUGUGUCGCGCUGGCAUGGACUUGUCCAACACUGUUUGUGUCCAUGUCCUACCGAUGAGUAGUAUAGGCGCGACCGUCUUUCGCUCUGGACAGCUGGCUGCUUGUGUGCGGCCAAAUUUGCAUAUAUAUUCAACACAUUUCGACCUGAACUCAGACGUGAACACCCGCUGAACUUAAGCAUAUCAUUUAGCGGAGGA
This 1211-nucleotide ribosomal RNA is filed under the name Helicotylenchus microcephalus. RNAcentral's name for it is "eukaryotic LSU rRNA". The stretch from base 1 to 194 matches the Rfam family "Eukaryotic small subunit ribosomal RNA". Lineage: Eukaryota; Metazoa; Nematoda; Chromadorea; Rhabditida; Hoplolaimidae. The record is from RNAcentral.